CCUACGGGGGGCAGCAGUGGGGAAUAUUGCGCAAUGGGCGAAAGCCUGACGCAGCGACGCCGCGUGAGGGAUGAAGGUCUUCGGAUCGUAAAACUCUGUCAGCAGGGAAGAACGGUAACUGUGCUAAUCAGCAGUGAAUUGACGGUACCUGCACAGGAAGCACCGGCUAACUCCGUGCCAGCAGCCGCGGUAAUACGGAGGGUGCGAGCGUUAAUCGGAAUUACUGGGCGUAAAGCGCUCGUAGGCGGUAUGUCAAGUCAAGGGUGAAAUCCCCGAGCUCAACGUGGGAACUGCCUUUGAAACUGGCAAACUGGAGUGUUGGAGAGGAUAGUGGAAUUCCCGGUGUAGGAGUGAAAUCCGUAGAUAUCGGGAGGAACAUCAGUGGCGAAGGCGAGUAUCUGGCACAUAACUGACGCUGAGGAGCGAAAGCGAGGGUAGCAAACGGGAUUAGAUACCCUAGUAGUC
This 465-nucleotide ribosomal RNA is filed under the name uncultured bacterium. RNAcentral's name for it is "partial 16S ribosomal RNA". It matches the Rfam family "Bacterial small subunit ribosomal RNA", at positions 338 to 795 of the family's 1533-position model. The record is from RNAcentral.